AUGCAUCGACUCUUGGCCGUGGCGCGCUCUCGUGGCAAGAGGAGGCAGGGCAGCGAACGAAGUGAGCCGGUGGAUCAUUUCGGAUUCGGACGGAAAUAUACAGGAGUUGCCAUGUCACUAUUCAGCAGGCGCUACGUGCCAUGGAUUAUGGACCGGAAUCGAUCGGCGGCUGGUUGGCUUCUAUUUGAUGCCACGCAUGUGUCGCUGCAGUGCAGUGCAACUGUAGAGCGAACAAGUAAAACCGAGCGAGUAAACAGAAUCGCGAUGGAGACUGGUCUCGAAGCCACCCUGUUCUCCGAACACCUGGCGCGCCGCCCGGCGGCCGCCUUCUGCUACCUGUCGCAGUCCCCCGAGGUCAUCGCCGCGGAGCGCGCCCUCCUCGUCACCGUGGCCGGCUGUCGUUCGGGCGUGUCCGGUGACGAGGUCGCCGCCGUCCUUCGCUCCCAGUUCGGGCUCGCCGAGGCUGACUUCUCGGUCUACAAGCACGCAUCAGAGGAUUUCCUGGUCAGCUCUAUGGCAUCCCCGAUCACGCCUGGCUGCGGUCCUCCGCCGAGACCCUCCUCUCGCCCUUCUGCAAGGUGGAGAACCUUCGCCCCCGAGACGCGAAACAUGUCCGACAUGUCCGUCUUCAAGCUCACCGCCUGGACGCUCAACCCCGACGCCAUCCCGCGCACCGCCGAGCUCCUCCUCCCCGACGAGGAUGCGGUGUUGCCUGAUGCUGACCAGGACCGCGCGGAGCGCCUCGCCCUGGGGCUGGCCCGGUUCCCUGUUCGCAUUCACGUCACGGAAUGCGUCGACUUCCGCCGGCCGCCGCUGCCAUCGCCCCCGCCGCCGGAGUCCGAUGACCUCGACCAUGCGCCGGACUCCCCACCGCUCCCCCCAAGCUGGCCGCAGCACCACGUGUUCCCCCCGGCUUGUUGCAGCGCGGCUCGCCCGCCGGGUGAUGGCUGUGGCCGCCGACGACGCCGCCGCCGUGCGCAUGCGCCCCCGCCAUGCCGGUUCUGGGUUGGCAUCCUCGGGGCCCACCCCGGUGCCGUGGCCGACGUCACGCGGGUCUCCGCCCGCCUGCGAUUGGGCGCGCCCGCUGUCCCUGCAUCACCUCUGGCCCACCAUGACUCGCAGACUGCGCGUGUCCCGCCGCCAGCUGUCGAGCCUGUGUUGGCCCCCCUGGUGCCUCGGCCCGCCUCGGACCACGCGACCCCGCCCAUGCUCCCUGAUCAUGCGGCCCCACCCCUGCAUGUCGUCCCUGCCACGGCGGAUGCGCCUGCACCGUUUCUUGUGCCUUCCGCCCAACGGGCAGCUGCCGACACACAUGCAGGCGUAUCUUCACCUGGCCCCACCUGCGAUCUGGUCGCGGCCUCGGAUCCGUUGCUCGGCCAACCGACGAACUCGCUUAUCCCGGUGACCGAGCCCGACGCAUCCCCUGCUCCAGCUGCAGAUUCUCCUGGCCCCGCACAUGCCGACAACGCCGCCUCGGCGGGCCCCGCGGAUCCCCCGCGCGCCCCGAUCGCCUCAUUGGCUGCAUGUGGCCCGCCCCCAGAUGUCUCUCCCAUGCACGACCGUUCGCCUGCCUUGGAUCCCAGUUGCGCGUCGGCCUCCCUCUCGUCACCUGGUGCCGCAUCCUCUGUCGCCGUGCAUGCCGCUGCAGACAGCAGCUCCAACUCCCUGGCUGUGUUCGUGGACGGGAUCUCCGUCCGCUCCCAGCCCAUCCUCACGGCGCCACCGCGCCGCCGUCGCCGCGAGCUGCCCGCGGACUUUACCCCCCGUCGGAGUUUCCAGAUUGCCAAGGCUGACCAGGGCCUUGACUCAGAGAUGAAAGCCAAACGGGUUCUUCUUCGCCGCCUGGGGCUGAUCAAGGAUGACAGCGCGCCCAUCCCGCGGGACACACUCGACAAAUACGCUCACUUGUUCGAGAAACCUUUGGCGGAGGAUGUGCUCGAGGCGUUUGCGGAUUUCUUUGGUUGGAACCUCCCUGGACGAUUUCCGGCCGCUUUCCCCGUCCGAGACGUGGCUCAGGCGCAAGCUCAAAGGCGCAUACCUAGGGUUGGCUUCCCUCGAGUGAUCCAUCAAGCGCCAGCGAUCACGCAUAUCUUGGCUCCGCGACUCCCCACUCUACUACCGCAGCGCACACUGAUCUCCUCCCUCCGCGUCGACGGCCAUCUGGUCACCGAGCACGCCGCCAUGGUCGAGGCGGCCUUCGACUACUUCUCCGGUGUCCUUGGCUCAUCGAAUGAGCGCGCCUUCUCCCUGGACCAAUCUGCCGUGCGGGCGCGGGCGCGGGCUGCAUCUCAGGGAGGCGCCACCUUAAGCUCGCUUGGCGACUGCAUUAAGGGGGGAGAAGAAAAUACUUGGCAACCUUGUUCCGUCGGCUGGGCUUAUCCGACCACCAGCAGCCAGCACCAGCAGGGCCCGGAGCAGUGGGGCCUAGCCGGCCGGCAAAGGUCAUCUCGAGACCAGCCACAAGCCUUCGUGGCCCAACGAAAGUGGGCGUUUAGAUGGUGGAGCAACUUGUCGGCUCGUCGUCGUCAGGACGGCAAGGCCGGGCGCCGGCUGGUCGCCUCGUGCACCAACCGCCGCCAGCUCUUGAGGCCCUCAAGGGCUGAUUUUAACACAAAUGGCCGUGACCUCGGUUGGAGUCUUAUCCGUCUACUCACGCCCGAUCGUGCUUAUCUGGGCGCCAAAUCGACUGCGUGCUCGGUCCUCAUCAUUGCCACACAGUAA
Molecule: ribosomal RNA, 2721 nt
Filed under: Triticum aestivum (bread wheat)
Lineage: Eukaryota; Viridiplantae; Streptophyta; Magnoliopsida; Poales; Poaceae
Description: partial small subunit ribosomal RNA
Source: RNAcentral